RNAcentral lists this ribosomal RNA (517 nucleotides) under uncultured bacterium. RNAcentral describes it as "bacterial SSU rRNA". It matches the Rfam family "Bacterial small subunit ribosomal RNA", at positions 29 to 502 of the family's 1533-position model. The record is from RNAcentral.
AUGAACGCCGGCGGUGUGCCUAAUACAUGCAAGUCGAGCGCACUGGCCCAACAGAAAUGACGUGCUUGCACUGAUUUGACGUUGGAUUCCCAGUGAGCGGCGGACGGGUGAGUAACACGUGGGCAACCUGCCCCAAAGCGGGGGAUAACAUUUGGAAACAGGUGCUAAUACCGCAUAACUUGGAAAACCACAUGGUUUUCCAAUAAAAGAUGGUUUCGGCUAUCACUUUGGGAUGGGCCCGCGGUGCAUUAGCUAGUUGGUAAGGUAACGGCUUACCAAGGCGAUGAUGCAUAGCCGAGUUGAGAGACUGAUCGGCCACAAUGGAACUGAGACACGGUCCAUACUCCUACGGGAGGCAGCAGUAGGGAAUCUUCCACAAUGGGCGCAAGCCUGAUGGAGCAACACCGCGUGAGUGAAGAAGGGUUUCGGCUCGUAAAACUCUGUUGUUGGAGAAGAACGUGCGUAAGAGUAACUGUUUACGCAGUGACGGUAUCCAACCAGAAAGUCACGGCUAACU